CCUACGGGGGGCUGCAGUGGGGAAUAUUGGACAAUGGGGGCAACCCUGAUCUAGCCAUGCCGCGUGUGUGAAGAAGGCCCUCGGGUUGUAAAGCACUUUCAGUGAGGAAGAACGCCUGGUGGUUAAUACCCAUCAGGAAAGACAUCACUCACAGAAGAAGCACCGGCUAACUCCGUGCCAGCAGCCGCGGUAAUACGGAGGGUGCGAGCGUUAAUCGGAAUUACUGGGCGUAAAGCGCGCGUAGGUGGCUUGAUAAGCCGGUUGUGAAAGCCCCGGGCUCAACCUGGGAACGGCAUCCGGAACUGUCAAGCUAGAGUGCAGGAGAGGAAGGUAGAAUUCCCGGUGUAGCGGUGAAAUGCGUAGAGAUCGGGAGGAAUACCAGUGGCGAAGGCGGCCUUCUGGACUGACACUGACACUGAGGUGCGAAAGCGUGGGUAGCAAACAGGAUUAGAUACCCCAGUAGUC
This 465-nucleotide ribosomal RNA is filed under the name Vreelandella stevensii. RNAcentral describes it as "partial 16S ribosomal RNA". It matches the Rfam family "Bacterial small subunit ribosomal RNA", at positions 338 to 795 of the family's 1533-position model. The record is from RNAcentral. Lineage: Bacteria; Pseudomonadati; Pseudomonadota; Gammaproteobacteria; Oceanospirillales; Halomonadaceae.